This 442-nucleotide ribosomal RNA is filed under the name uncultured bacterium. RNAcentral's name for it is "partial 16S ribosomal RNA". It matches the Rfam family "Bacterial small subunit ribosomal RNA", at positions 338 to 795 of the family's 1533-position model. The record is from RNAcentral.
CCUACGGGGAGCAGCAGUGGGGAAUAUUGGGCAAUGGGCGCAAGCCUGACCCAGCAACGCCGCGUGAAGGAAGAAGGCUUUCGGGUUGUAAACUUCUUUUAAGAGGGAAGAGCAGAAGACGGUACCUCUUGAAUAAGCCACGGCUAACUACGUGCCAGCAGCCGCGGUAAUACGUAGGUGGCAAGCGUUGUCCGGAUUUACUGGGUGGAAAGGGCGUGCAGCCGGGAAGACAAGUCAGAUGUGAAAUCCCGCGGCUCAACCGCGGAACUGCAUUUGAAACUGUUUUUCUUGAGUACCGGAGAGGUCAUCGGAAUUCCUUGUGUAGCGGUGAACUGCGUAGAUAUAAGGAAGAACACCAGUGGCGAAGGCGGAUGACUGGACGGCAACUGACGGUGAGGCGCGAAAGCGUGGGGAGCACACAGGAUUAGCUACCCGAGUAGUC